Molecule: non-coding RNA, 29 nt
Filed under: Rattus norvegicus (Norway rat)
Lineage: Eukaryota; Metazoa; Chordata; Mammalia; Rodentia; Muridae
Source: RNAcentral
UACUAUGGACAAAGUGGGAGUGUUGCCUA